RNAcentral lists this transfer RNA (85 nucleotides) under Escherichia coli. Its description in RNAcentral is "tRNA-Tyr". It matches the Rfam family "tRNA". From Rfam's summary of the family: Transfer RNA (tRNA) molecules are approximately 80 nucleotides in length. Their secondary structure includes four short double-helical elements and three loops (D, anti-codon, and T loops). The record is from RNAcentral. RNAcentral also lists the same sequence under 4 other names. Lineage: Bacteria; Pseudomonadati; Pseudomonadota; Gammaproteobacteria; Enterobacterales; Enterobacteriaceae.
GGUGGGGUUCCCGAGCGGCCAAAGGGAGCAGACUGUAAAUCUGCCGUAAUCGACUUCGAAGGUUCGAAUCCUUCCCCCACCACCA